RNAcentral lists this ribosomal RNA (670 nucleotides) under Xanthomonas melonis. Its description in RNAcentral is "bacterial SSU rRNA". It matches the Rfam family "Bacterial small subunit ribosomal RNA", at positions 91 to 757 of the family's 1533-position model. The record is from RNAcentral. Lineage: Bacteria; Pseudomonadati; Pseudomonadota; Gammaproteobacteria; Lysobacterales; Lysobacteraceae. RNAcentral also lists the same sequence under 1 other name.
GCGAGUGGCGGACGGGUGAGGAAUACAUCGGAAUCUACCUUUUCGUGGGGGAUAACGUAGGGAAACUUACGCUAAUACCGCAUACGACCUUAGGGUGAAAGCGGAGGACCUUCGGGCUUCGCGCGGAUAGAUGAGCCGAUGUCGGAUUAGCUAGUUGGCGGGGUAAAGGCCCACCAAGGCGACGAUCCGUAGCUGGUCUGAGAGGAUGAUCAGCCACACUGGAACUGAGACACGGUCCAGACUCCUACGGGAGGCAGCAGUGGGGAAUAUUGGACAAUGGGCGCAAGCCUGAUCCAGCCAUGCCGCGUGGGUGAAGAAGGCCUUCGGGUUGUAAAGCCCUUUUGUUGGGAAAGAAAAGCAGUCGGUUAAUACCCGAUUGUUCUGACGGUACCCAAAGAAUAAGCACCGGCUAACUUCGUGCCAGCAGCCGCGGUAAUACGAAGGGUGCAAGCGUUACUCGGAAUUACUGGGCGUAAAGCGUGCGUAGGUGGUUGUUUAAGUCCGUUGUGAAAGCCCUGGGCUCAACCUGGGAAUUGCAGUGGAUACUGGGCAACUAGAGUGUGGUAGAGGAUGGCGGAAUUCCCGGUGUAGCAGUGAAAUGCGUAGAGAUCGGGAGGAACAUCUGUGGCGAAGGCGGCCAUCUGGACCAACACUGACACUGAGGCACGAA